CGGCGCACGUUAGCCCCUCUCCAUCUCUCCCAAGCGGUGGUGCCCUCCUCAUCCACCCACGUCACAAAUUCAGCCGCACAUCCCUCCCCACUUUAACAACAACCAUGCCCCUUUCCCUCCACCACACCCAACCCAAUCAACCUUCUCACUCUCUUCUCCUCUCCCCCUUAUCCUCCGCCCCCCUCCUCCCUAUCCUUCACCCACCCCCUUAACCUAAUCAACACUACCUUUCUUUUCCUCUUCUCCGCCAUGGCUUCCCCAUCUUCCCCCACUGAUUCCA
This 280-nucleotide long non-coding RNA is filed under the name Phaseolus vulgaris (common bean). RNAcentral's name for it is "long non-coding RNA (PVUL_LNC001417)". Lineage: Eukaryota; Viridiplantae; Streptophyta; Magnoliopsida; Fabales; Fabaceae. The record is from RNAcentral.